AACGAACGCUGGCGGCGUGGAUAAGACAUGCAAGUCGAACGGGACUAAAUCUGUAGCAAUACAGGUUUAGUUUAGUGGCGAACGGGUGCGUAACACGUGGGCAAUCUGCCGAGAAGUGGGGGAUAGCUCGCCGAAAGGCGAAUUAAUACCGCAUAUGAUCAGCUAAGACAUCUUAGCGACAUCAAAGCCGGGGCAACCUGGCGCUUCUUGAUGAGCCCGCGGCCUAUCAGCUAGUUGGUGAGGUAACGGCUCACCAAGGCUAUGACGGGUAGCUGGUCUGAGAGGACGACCAGUCACACUGGAACUGAGACACGGUCCAGACACCUACGGGUGCAGCAGUCGAGAAUUUUUCNCAAUGGGGCAACCCUGAAGGAGCGACGCCGCGUGGAGGAUGAAGG
Molecule: ribosomal RNA, 398 nt
Filed under: uncultured bacterium
Lineage: Bacteria
Description: bacterial SSU rRNA
Rfam family: Bacterial small subunit ribosomal RNA
Source: RNAcentral